Long non-coding RNA from Oncorhynchus gorbuscha (pink salmon), 2481 nucleotides. RefSeq lists it as uncharacterized. The transcript has 3 exons. Lineage: Eukaryota; Metazoa; Chordata; Actinopteri; Salmoniformes; Salmonidae. The record is from RefSeq and is a predicted model, not a curated record.
CCACAGUAAACCACCCCAAAACCAACUCAACUCACGUUUGAGUUCAGUCAUGGCUGCUAGCAUUUCUUAUUGAACCAAAUUUAAAACGAGGUCAAAUCAGGAAGUGCAGUUAUCCUUUAAAACUAACUAAUGCCAUGUUAUACAACUACCUUGCUUCCUUGCAGAUGAGCCAAGGAGGUGGACAGAUAAGAACAGCAGACAAGUGGAGCACUUAGAACAGCAGCCAGAGGCAACUGGUAGGGAAGAGGAUGAUUUACGUAACACAGACACAGGCCAAAAAUAAGUUAAGCUACCCAGUAUCCACCUGAACGUUUUGGAUUGCAAAACUAAAGAGUCACACCAGACAAGACAGAAACAGCAACAUAAGAAUAAAUGAUAGAGGCACCAGACAAGACAGAGAAAUAGCAACAGAAUAAUAUUAUAUGAUUGAGAGAGACAUAAGAAGAACAGAACAGGCUAUAACUGAAGAGGAUAGACAGUAACAAACAAGAACCCGAGACAGCCACAGACAAGACAGAAAAAGUGACAGAAGAGAUGGAGAGAGAACAGAGGACAACCCAGGGCAAUGAAACUGAUUCCAGAGGCCGACCCAAAACAACUUAGGAGGCACGCACACCAUCCACAGCUUUUUUGUAUUUUUUAUUAACCAGAGAUCUGUGAAACCCUGUAUGCAGAUGAAGAGGUCCCAAUGAAUGUCCCAAGAGAAUAAGAGUACAUCUUUUUAUACCAUGGGUUAUACACUGAGUGUACAAAACAUUAGGAACACAUUCGAAAGCAUUCAACAGGGAUACUGGCCCAUGUUGACUCCAAUACUUCCCACAGUUGUACGCCUGUCACCUACUACCACACUCUGUUCAAAGGCACUUAAAUCUUUUGUCUUGCCCAUUCACCCUCUGAAUGGCACACAUACAGUACACAAUCCAUGUCUCAAUUGUCUCAAGGUAUAAAAAUAAUUAUUUAACCUGUAUUCUCCCGUUCAUCUACACUGUUCGAAAUGCAUUUAAGUUACAUCAACAAGGUAUCAUAGCAUUCACCUGGAUUCACUUGGUCAGUCUAUGUCAUGGAAAGAGCAGUUGUUCCUAAUGUUUUGUACACUCUGUGUAUGUUAGCAAAUGUUGUCAACAGAAAUACAGUUUAAAAGUCACACACAAUGGAUAAACCUAUUACAACUGGAGCAGGCCAACCCUGCUGGGUGUGCAGGCUUCUGUUCCAGCCCAGCACUAACGCACCUCUAUUGCUGGGCUGGAAUAGAAGUCUGCUCACCAAGUAGACCAAGGAACAGUGGAGCGAGGACUUUUUUUUUGUUCACCUGAAAUUAUGCCUUAGUAGUUAUAGCCUACUUGUUACUAAGAUGGCUAACCUUUACAUAUGACUUAACUUACUUACUUGUUAAAGUGUCGAGUCUUUGAAGUGAAGUGUUUAAACUUCUUUUAAUUGUUAACUUGAAACAAUUAUUCAAGAUAAAUUAGUGUCAAUGUUGAUUAAUCACAGAUCACAAUCCUCUAAUCAAGAGGGAAAGUGAAUGUGUAUCUAAUUUGUCUGUGAUUCUGUGUUGUACUCUCGAAGGAACAUUACAGUUUUGUUCAGUUGUAAGCACUCCAAUUAGUUUUUGUUUGAUUGUCACUCUCUCUCUGCAUACUAUGGCGGCAACACCUACAGUAUGAUGGCAUUAGCUUUAUUAGCAUUUGCAAUGCACGACUUGACAUUGUGCAUCUGAAGCAGAGAAUAGCUUGACUCACACAUUGUUUGAUAUUGUAGAGCUAUACGUUCUCAAUUUAAAAAUGAUACCAGUAGACAAUAAUACUUAUUUUCCACCAUAAUUUGCAAAUAAAUUCAUGAAAAAUCCUACAAUGUGAUUUUCUGGAUUUAUUUUUCUCAUUUUGUCUGUCAUAGUUGAAGUGUACCUAUGAUGAAAAUUACAGGCCUCUCUCAUCUUUUUAAGUGGGAGAACUUGCACAAUUGGUGGCUGACUAAAUACUUUUUUUGCCCCACUGUAUAUUAAACCAGAUUUUGUACAUGCCUUGUGCUAGCAACAAAUUGUUUAGUGCAAAUCCAACCCUUGUUAUCUAGGUAGUGAAAUCUCUGCAAGCAGGAAAUGAUGGGAUCCUUAGCAUAAAACAUACACAUAACUAGUACUACCAAGUCUCCCAGGUCUGAAUGGCACUUGGAGGUGCCACUGUGAUAAUGAAGAUGGUUUGCCUAAGACUACCACAACAAUUACAUUGUCUAUGCUAAAUGUGUUUAAACUAGUAUAAAGAAAGAAUAGUUAGGCAAGUCGCUCUGGAUAAGAGCGUCUGCUAAAUGACUUAAAUGUAAAUGUAUUAGGAAUGCAUUUUAUUCAAUUGGAGAAGGCAAAGCAGGGAUGACUGUCACGCCCUGACCUCAGAAAGUAUUUUUACGUCUCUAUUUGGUUUGGUCAGGGUGUGAUUUGGGGUGGGCAUUCUAUGUUUUGUUUUCUAUGAUUUUCUGUUUCUAUGUUUU